This 423-nucleotide ribosomal RNA is filed under the name uncultured bacterium. Its description in RNAcentral is "bacterial SSU rRNA". It matches the Rfam family "Bacterial small subunit ribosomal RNA", at positions 207 to 622 of the family's 1533-position model. The record is from RNAcentral.
AAGACCUUGCGCUUUUGGAGCGGCCGAUGCCUGAUUAGCUUGUUGGUAAGGUAAAGGCUUACCAAGGCUUCGAUCAGUAGCUGGUCUGAGAGGACGGCCAGCCACACUGGGACUGAGACACGGCCCAGACUCCUACGGGAGGCAGCAGUGGGGAAUUUUGGACAAUGGGGGAAACCCUGAUCCAGCCAUGCCGCGUGAGUGAAGAAGGCCUUCGGGUUGUAAAGCUCUUUCAGCCGGAACGAAACGGUUACGGAUAAUACCCGUGACUACUGACGGUACCGGAAGAAGAAGCACCGGCUAACUACGUGCCAGCAGCCGCGGUAAUACGUAGGGUGCAAGCGUUAAUCGGAAUUACUGGGCGUAAAGCGUGCGCAGGUGGUUUUGUAAGUCAGAUGUGAAAGCCCCGGGCUCAACCUGGGAACU